RNAcentral lists this ribosomal RNA (461 nucleotides) under uncultured bacterium. RNAcentral's name for it is "partial 16S ribosomal RNA". It matches the Rfam family "Bacterial small subunit ribosomal RNA", at positions 338 to 795 of the family's 1533-position model. The record is from RNAcentral.
CCUACGGGAGGCAGCAGUGAGGAAUAUUGGUCAAUGGGCUUACGCCUGAACCAGCCAAGUCGCGUGAGGGAAGACUGCCCUAUGGGUUGUAAACCUCUUUUGUCAGGGAGCAAUUGGCGCUACGUGUAGCGUUAUCGAGAUUACUUGAAGAAAAAGCAUCGGCUAACUCCUUGCCCGCAGCCGCGGUAAUACGGAGGGUUCACGCUUUAUCCGGUUUUAUUGGGUUUAAGGGGUGCGUAUGCGGUCGUAUAAGUACGGGGUGAAAGCCCGGGGCUCAACCUCGGAAUUGCCUUUGAUACUGUCCGGCUAGAGAGUGGUUGCGGUAGGCGGAAUGUGUGGUGUAGCGGUGAAAUGCUUAGAGAUCAUACAGAACACCGAUUGCGAAGGCAGCUUACCAAGCUACUACUGACGUUGAGGCACGAAAGCGUGGGGAGCAAACAGGAUUAGAUACCCGUGUAGUC